AUGGUUUGGGUUUCAUCCUAUAUCCUGUUGCAGUUUACUUGGCCCGAUGCCUGGUGUGCUCACUUUCGUCUUGCCAAGAAAAGGGUACAUCUAUAUAAUGAAUAUAUGUUGAUUCUACAAAGCGACAUGUAUUUUGAUAUGUGUUCAAGGAAAAAUGCCGAAUCUACCUAUUCUUAUCCAUCCAGAGGUUGUGAUAUACUUUGUCAACCAAUGGAUUAUUACAAAUUUGACCUUCUCAAUAUGGUGUUCAUUUCCAUGUGCAGAAAUAGAUUGUAUCAUGCUUUGUUACAGAUUCUGUAG
Molecule: ribosomal RNA, 300 nt
Filed under: Triticum aestivum (bread wheat)
Lineage: Eukaryota; Viridiplantae; Streptophyta; Magnoliopsida; Poales; Poaceae
Description: partial small subunit ribosomal RNA
Source: RNAcentral